AAAUCAAACAUAUCAAAAAAAAUUCUAAGUAUCAAGCCAUAUGUUCACUUCUUCCACCUUGAGUAACUUUUUCUAUGGACUUCAAAUGAGAAUCAUGAUGAAUUUUGAGGUGGAAGUUUGGAAAAUCAAACAUAUCAAAAAAAAUUCUAAGUAUCAAGCCAUAUGUUCACUUCUUCCACCUUGAGUAACUUUUUCUAUGGACUUCAAAUGAGA
This 213-nucleotide long non-coding RNA is filed under the name Lathyrus oleraceus (garden pea). RNAcentral's name for it is "Pisum sativum (pea) long non-coding RNA (PSAT_LNC031500)". Lineage: Eukaryota; Viridiplantae; Streptophyta; Magnoliopsida; Fabales; Fabaceae. The record is from RNAcentral.